This 300-nucleotide ribosomal RNA is filed under the name uncultured Salinicoccus sp. Its description in RNAcentral is "bacterial SSU rRNA". It matches the Rfam family "Bacterial small subunit ribosomal RNA", at positions 496 to 795 of the family's 1533-position model. The record is from RNAcentral. Lineage: Bacteria; Bacillati; Bacillota; Bacilli; Caryophanales; Staphylococcaceae.
GCUACGGUCGUACGAGCAGCCGGAGUGAGACAUAGGUUUCGAGAUGUUGUCGGAUUCAGUGGGUGUAAAGCGAGUGUAGGCGGGCUGGUAAGUACCGUGUGAAAUCCCACGGCGCAACCGUGGCAUGGCGUGGGCUACUGCUGGGCUUGGGCGAAAUAGGGGUUAGCGGAACGAACGGUGGAGCGGUGAAAUGCGUAGAUAUCGGUGGGAACGCCAAUGGUGAAGACAGGUAACUGGGGAUGUGCUGACGCUGAGACACGAAAGCCAGGGGAGCGAACGGGAUUAGAUACCCUAGUAGUC